Molecule: long non-coding RNA, 565 nt
Organism: Alnus glutinosa
Lineage: Eukaryota; Viridiplantae; Streptophyta; Magnoliopsida; Fagales; Betulaceae
Exons: 3
Source: RefSeq, a predicted model, not a curated record
AGAUUCCAUUGUUUCCAAAAGUCUCCCCAACGACUUGGAUAGAAAAAGUCUCCCAAGCAAAGAUGUAAGACAAAAGUUACUGGCAAGUUUUCCUUCUAAUAUUUUGCUAGUUUGAUAAAAAAUUUAUCUAUCAGAUCCCAUAUAUAUGAAGAAAGCAGGUUCAAUGGAUGCUAUUUUGGAAAUUGCAGAGAGGUAUUAACAAACAGAGAGCAAAACUGAUGAUCGGGAACCUUAUAUUAUGAAGCCAUUAGAGGAACUUACAUUUUGGCCCAUUGAACGCUGAAGAGCACUUCGGGUAGAGAAGCGCAUAACCUCAGGAAGAGAUGCACUACAUUGGGAGGAGACGUGCGGUAUACCUUGGGCUGGCUCUUUCAGACAGCAGGACCCCUUGUCAAGUGGAAAAUCAUUUGUCAGGCACUGGAACCUUUCACAAAACAGUUUGGAUCCACCUAGUUAUAAAUGUAGGCACAAUUAAUUAUCCAAGAAAGAACAGUACAAUACACCAGGUGAAGUAAACUUUGCAAGUGAAAUUAAGUUCACCUUCAUAAGUGAAAUUAAUUGAGGC